UACGUAGGGGGCGAGCGUUGUCCGGAAUUACUGGGUGUAAAGGGCGCGUAGGCGGGCUGUUAAGUCAGAUGUGAAAUUUCAGGGCUCAACCCUGAACCUGCAUCUGAAACUGGCGGUCUUGAGUGCAGUAGAGGAAAGCGGAAUUCCUAGUGUAGCAGUGAAAUGCGUAGAGAUUAGGAGGAACACCAGUGGCGAAGGCGGCUUUCUGGGCUGUAACUGACGCUGAGGCGCGAAAGCGUGGGGAGCAAACAGG
This 253-nucleotide ribosomal RNA is filed under the name uncultured bacterium. RNAcentral describes it as "partial 16S ribosomal RNA". It matches the Rfam family "Bacterial small subunit ribosomal RNA", at positions 524 to 776 of the family's 1533-position model. The record is from RNAcentral.